Molecule: long non-coding RNA, 8539 nt
Organism: Homarus americanus (American lobster)
Lineage: Eukaryota; Metazoa; Arthropoda; Malacostraca; Decapoda; Nephropidae
Exons: 2
Source: RefSeq, a predicted model, not a curated record
UUACGUAACCAUCACGGUAUCGACGGUUUCUUUAUCGACGGCCGUCUACAGAACGUAACCCCCGUCGAUAAAGAGGGAGUACUGUAUAUAGUUUAGUUUUAAUUUUAAUUUUAUUUAUUUACCUUUGUACUGCUCCCUUGCUUAACAUGGGUUUUGUCAAUGCACAUUCGCUCAAUCACAUUUUUUUUUAGUAUUACCUGGUAUUGCUUAACGCAGGGCUAAGAUUCGCUUAAACGCGGUUGAGUCAGGCUAAUACGGUUAAAUUCAGCUGAACAUGAUCAGGUAGAAAAUUUUUUGCUCAGGCCAGCGGUUGAGUCCUUUACAGUCCACAGGUAGCAUCUCCAUGCCAUGUUGGCUUAGAGUUUAGCUAGUGCUCGGUCCAGCCACAACCAAAAACUUCGCUUUGUUUAAUUUCAGAUAUUCUCUUGCUUUCACCACCAUGGCUCCACCUAAAUGUUUUCUAAGUGCCAUAGAGACACUUCGGCGAAGAAGAGUAGGACCAUGUUUACCUUACAGAGUACUGUAAAUUAGACAUUAUUCAACAGCUAGUGUGUGGCCAAUCUGCCGCUUCUGUUGGACGCUAAUGUCCAACCAGCAUCCUAUAUCACCCUCAUUGUUUAUGCCCUUCAUAUGUGAGUACAGUAUAUUUUUUAUUCUUAUUUAAACGUUUGUUCAUAUGUUUAUGUUAGACAUUCUUGCGACUAGAAAGAGACCAGUCUGCCCAUUCUGUCGGAGUGGUUUCUCCGUAAACGAGUCAAUCAAGAGGAAUGCCGAAAAGAUUAGAGUCUUAAUUUUGGGUAAAUGAACAUAAUUUUCAUAAAAAAAAUAUUAUUCGGUGACAUGCACACAUAAUCUUACAUACGGAAUGUGAAAAAAAAUCAUCAUUGGGUCAAAAACAUAAGAUGAAUGUAAAUAUUUCUGUGUGUGCCUGCGAGAUUUAGUGGAAGUUAUGUUAUGGUUAUUUUUCAACUCGUAAUAUCAAGUAGAUAAACUUAACUUUCUUCAUAUUUCCUUUAUUCAGUUGCAUGAACACUAUCCUACAUACAGAAUGUGCCCCAAAAAUAUGUACAGUAUACAAAAAAUAAUCAUCAUUAGGUCAAAAACAUAAAAUGAUUUAACAGUCCUUCAUGUGCCAGUGGGAGGGGUGCAUUGCUAAGGGAAGGCUUCAGCUGGGCUGGGUUGCUAUGGUGAGGCUUGACGGAGCCCACGUAUGACUCAGCAUCUGCAUAUGGCUGUGGUGUUAAACUUUCGGGGACUGAUUUCAUGGACACGCCAGUGCCUCCACAAUGUACUGUAUGUGUAUUAUUGAGCUACUUUAGAGCUGUACGAUGCCUUUGAACUAUGGUGUGGGGGAGGUUGCAUUUUUUGCAGUCUACCUGACACAACCCCUAUCUCCCCAUGUUAUAAUGGGUUUGCUCAACACAACAUUUUCUGGGAACGCAACCCCACAUUAAGCAAGGGGAGUGUGUACAGUCUUCUCUCCGUUAGCUGGAAUCCCUGUUCCUUGGAACUUUUCAAUAGCCGGAAUGGAAAUCGGCCCGGAAUUUUUCCUGAAAAAAAAUCUCUAUUUGAGGUCAGCGAACAAAUGUUCCAGGAUUUCCGAGAAAUUGCAUCAUGCUCUGCUGCGUUGCCACGUGCUCGUGCCAGCCCUGUGGGUGGAAAAUCACCUGGGAAUGGGCCGUAGGCUCGCGAGCUGUGAUUGGCUAAUACACUGUACUACUGUCAUGUGACUGCAUGGGAUACCUGUGUUAGGCUGAUGCAUCUCCCAGCUUAUCCCCUCUAAACUAGGCAUCAUGAAGCCUCUGCCAUUGUACAAGAUUGAUCCCUCGCUCGCUGCAGUUAAUGCUUAAAUUUGCAUUCUGCAGUGCUGUACAUUACUGUACCUGGACACAAUCAGCCAAGAAUACAGUGUUAAAGCAGUGUUAGGAUGUAAAAUGUGAUUCCAGUUAUGUAAUCAGCAGAGUGGACAGUGUAUUACUACUGUAUUGUAGGUUCAAGACAACAUCAUCUGCUGGCGAGUACAGUAGCAGUACAUAUUAUUUUGUUUAUUUACAAUAUAUUGUUCAGUAUGUGUACAGUAGUAUUUACGUAAGUACAUAUAGGUCUGUGUCUGUCCAUACGAGAUGCUUAGCUUAGACUCUCAGAAAACUUUCCCCAGUGCAGGGUGGAAAAUUCCAAUGUCUUGACUAUUACACACAGCUCUAUUCAUGCUUAGCUUGCCUGUAUCAUAUUUUUAUUUUUAUUUUUUUUAAUAUAUUUAUUUAACCAAACUUCUGGAUAAACUUUUCAGGAUUAUUUUAAUAAAAACUAGUGUUUAUAAAUACUGUACAGUAGAACCUGAUUUUAUUGACUCAGGUAUCAACAUUUCGUAUGUUUUGUAAAAAUAUUUUGUUGAAGGAUCUUUUAUUGGAACAAUCUUGUAGAGAAUUUAUUAGAGCAGAUUGUUACUAAAAGUUUAUACACUUUUUCGCUAGCCUUAAAUAUUUUUGCUCGUGCCACGGUCUAAAUUAUUGAAGAGUGUUUUUCCAUGCAAGAAGAGAUGAUAAGAUGCAUAGUUUAGAGUCGAGAUGAAAUGUGUAGUUUAAACCUCUUAGACUCAAGGAAAACUUUCCCCAGCACCCAGAAACAUUCCAGGAUGUGUGACAGUGCCUGUCUUUACAAGAAGCGUAGUUUAGACUCGCGGAACUUUUCCCAGUACCCGGAAAAAUUCUGGGGAAGUGGGAUUUUUCUGGGUAUGAGAGUGUUGUCUUGAUACUCGGAAAUUUCUCAUCCCCGGAAGAGCUCGGCACCAAUUGUUCCAGCUAAUGAGGACGUAACUAAAAUUGGCAAAUUUUAAUUUAAUCUUGCCGAGACUACCAUAUGCUAUUUUUGUGUAGUCAUGUUAUGAUAGUUUGUACUGUACAGUACAUAUUUUUUAUUCCAAGUACAGUACAGUAGAACGUCUAUAUAACAAUAGAUACGUUCCAAGAGAGGUCGCUUUAAACCGAAUUCGCACUAAAUCGAAGUGUUGUUUCAAUGGAAUAAUUUAGUUUGGUAUUUGAAAGAAACACAAAAUACUAAAAAGACUUUUAUUAACUAAUAAAUGUGAGAAAAAUAUAUGGCGUAUUGAUAUAUAUGCAGCAAGCACUCCCUGCAGUUGAGUUGAGAGCUGGACUGUACUGUCUGCUGCCUCGCGUCACUGGCCCUCCCCCUGCCCCGACUGAGAGUCUACCCAGAUGCACCUAAACCCAUCUCCUAGAAUAAACAAAACAUUGUUUUUUGUAGUAUUAUGCUAAAAAAAAACUCAUAAAUCAACACAGCUAAAAUUACAGUAUGCAAAAUGGACUGUUUACUGGCGAUCAGCUGAUGUGAGAGGGUGGCCGCGCUUGCGCCGCACACUGCCUGCCUCUCGUCUGUCUCACUCCAUCCCUACCACUCACCAUGCACUUUCACUAUCCUCUCAACUUAGUUUUUCAUUACUUUAUGCUGGCCCUGCCCUGACUGAGAGUCUACCCAGAUGCACCUAAACCCAUCUCCUAGAAUAAACAAGCACUCAUAAUUCAACACAGCUAAAAUUACCGGAUGCGAAAUGGUCUGUUUACUAACGAGCAACUGAUGUGAGAGGGUGGUCGCACUGGUACCACUCACCACCCGCCUCUUGUCUGACUCACCAAGCACUUUCACUUUCCUCUCAACUUAUUUUUUAAUUACUUUAUGGUAUCAAAAAUAGAUUUUCACUCGACUUCAGUUAGGCAAUUCAUCCUCUGAAGAUGUAGAGCCAAACUCGACCAGCUCAUCAUCCACAUCACUGUCUAGUGCUGUGACUGUGGACGCAUCUGACACGCGGGAAGCACUGGUUGAUGGCCGUGGCUGCCCAGAUGUAGAUGGGCCAGCUACCCCAGGAGCUGAAGAAAUGGAAAACUUCUUUAAAUUAUUGAAUUUCUACCACAUAAUUAUUACAUAUCAUACACCCAAAAUUUAAUGUAAAAUUUUCCAAGUAAUAAACACUCAGUUUCAUAACAAACUCAACUGGUGAGGAUAAUGAACAGAAGAAUGAGGUGAUUUUCUUCUGUUGCUGGGCCAUAACCAUCUGAUCUAGCAGCUGAGAGUACGUAGAUGCAGCCCGAUUCAACACCUCCAUUACUUGCAUACUGCAUUCCAUAUCAGGGUCAUGUUGCAGUGCAGAAUGGGUGGCACAAGUGACGUGCUGCAUAAACUCCCUCAGCUUAGGAAUUGUCAGUUCCUUCCCUACUGUUUGGGGCUUAUCUGUUGCUUCCUCUUCUUCCGCGUGUUUCUUCGCCAUCUCCAAGACUUCUUCAGAAGUGAGAGGAUCCUCCAUGCUGACAAGCAGUUAAUUCACAUCCUCUUCUUGGAUUUUUUGAAAUCCUGAAUCACCUCUCACUUCCUUAACGAGCUUCAGAAUGCCUUUCACGUUCUCGCCUUUAUCAAAGCCCCUGAAAUCAUGGACUACCUCAGGGCACAGAUUACGCCACAUUCCAUUUAGUGCAGUUUCUGACACACUUUUCAACGCAAGUGCGAUGUUAGCUAUGGCAUCUUUGAUGGUGUAGCUCUUCCAAAAUGUUGCUGCAGUCAUAUUGUUGUCCUUGAGAUAAUAUCUCUUGAACAAGGCAAGAACACCUUGAUCUGGUGGCUGAAUCAGUAAAGUCACAUUUGGAGGGAAGAAGGUCAAGUUUACAUACUUAUUCACACUGCACUGGUGUUUGGAGUGGCAAGAUGUGUUGUCCAUGAGAACCAAGGCCUUGUGGCUAAGGUUCAGUCUUUGUUAACAUUUUCGAUGAAUGGGGUGGCAUGGCUGAUGUACCGCUCAUCGAAAAUAUCAGAAGUCAUCCACACCUUCUUGUUUGAUCGCCAAAUUACAGGAAGUUUCGGGAUGAACACAUUUUUCAAGGCACGAGAUCUAGCCGAGUGGUGGAUGAUGAGUGCUUCAUUCGUGAGGUGCCUGAUGCGUUGGCCAUGAGGAGAAUCGUCAGGCUGUCCUUGUUGACAUUGAACCCAGGUGCCUUUUCUUCACUCUUUAUUAGAUAGGUUUUCUUGGGAAUUCUUUUCCAAUACGGCCCAGUUUCAUCACAAUUUCACACUUGGCAAGGAGAAUAACCAUUUUCUAACACUAUAUCCUUCAGAAUUUUCUUCAUAUCCUCAGCCACCUCCACGUCGGCAGAUACAACUUCACCUGAAAGCGUCACAUUCCUUAGCCCCGUCUUUUUGAUAAAUUUGUACAGCCAGCUUGUACUUGCUGUGAAACUACUGUCUUUGAUGGACUUCCCUUCCUUUUCAAGUAUCCAAGACUGUAUUUCAUAGGCUUGGUUUUGCAGCAUUGGGCCAGUGAGAGGAAAUUUUCAGUGCUGCAUGUCUUCUACCCAUAACUUCAGUGCAUCUUCCAUCUCAACAUACAUAGCAGACUUCAGGUGGAGUUUACCCUUGGCAACAUCUGGUGAAGCAUAGGCUGCUCUAAUUUUCUUCUCACUGAGCUUGAUAGCGUGGACAGAGCUCUCCGACAGUCCAAAUUGGCGCCCCACACUUGAAGCACCAUUUCUACGCUGCAGUGCUUCCAGCACCUUGACUUUCUGCUCCAGUGUAAUUGCUUGCCUUGAUUUCUUGGUCGUUGGGGUAGUUAAUGAUGUAGUGGCUGGCCUCUUGGACAUACCGGUAGUGGUGAUGGUUGAUGUACGUGAUAGAAGGAGAUAGUGUCACACAGUAUGUCCGUUCACUGGAGCGUCAGUGCGAGAACUGAGGAUGUGGGAGGGUGGUGGGCAGCUGUGUAGUGUGCCCAGAGAGGUGCUGGCAGGAAACAUUAGAUGCAAAAUUUAAAAUAGUGUGUAUUUCCAUAUUACGCACCAGAUUUGACUCGCGUAAAAUAGGAAAGAUUCGCUUUAAACUAAUACAUUGUCCUUAAUUGUGGGUGUCGCUUUAAAUCAAUAAUCUUAAAUUGAUUCACUAUAAAUCGCCGUUCUAAUCUAUGUGUAUUUCCAAAUAUAAAUAGGAGAAAAAGUCAUGCUGUACAUUUACCAUAUUUAUUAUGCUACACAACAAACUUGAUUGUACAGGUAUACACAGCUACUCCUCGACUUACAACCUACUCGACUUACGACCACCCGGACAUUCGACCGCCCCAGUCUUACCAAUUUUUUUUCAAAUUACGUAUUUUCAAGUCCCGACUUUAUUUUGACUUAGACCAAUUCGACUUACGGCCUGGAUUUGGGUCCCUAACCCCGUCCUAAGUCGAGGAGUGGCUGUAUCCUCAAACCUGAAAACCUUGGGACCAAGACCAAACCAGUUUUGAGGAUUUUCCAGUUUCCUGGGUCCUAGGUCAUCCAUUUUACCCUGAGCCUACCAGGAGACUACAUCAAGUUUUGCCUCCAUGCAGUCUUACUCCCACAAACUGUUCAAGUUUGUUUUGCUUUUUAAAUAACAAAUUUAGUCUAUUCAGAAAUUGAAAGCUUCCUUAGAGCAAGUUAAAUGGGCUUCUUUACAUUCCAGCAGCUUCUAGUGAGUUCUUAAGUAAUUACUGUUUGUUUGAACAGUUAUGAAUACAAAGAUAUUAAUAUUGUUUUCACAUAGCUUUUGAAAUUAUUAUUGGUAAAAUUAAACCAAAGAUUCGAGGUAACUUGUGCCAGAUGUUACUGAAUUUAAUGUGUUUUUCUUUAUUUAAAGUAUGUAAUGCUGUUGACUUUAUGGUGCUAUUUAAGAAGUAAAACAAACAUUCAGGCUGUGUGUGUGUGACUUGAUUUUCUUUUCUUUUUUUAUUUAAAAAACAAUUGUAAUAUUGUAAUAUUAAAAUGCAAUAUAACCACAAAAACUACUGUAAACACCAAUGCACCCUAAUAUUUGGGUAUGUACAGUAUCCACUUACAGUACAGUAUUUGGGUCAUUUGUCCUGCUAUAUGGUUUCAUUUCUGAUCAAACUUUUCUAAAGUUUUCUUUUCCUAUCAUCGGCUGGAAGGUGAUAGAAACUUAAAGGUGUCCACUUUCUUUUUAAUGUACAAUUCAGCACACGACAGCCUUUGUAAAGCAAGCAGGAUAUAAACAAAGAUGGUAGAAUAGAUCCCCAGGUCUAUUGAAAGGAUGGCAGUAGUAGUCUUCAAAGAUGUGUUGUUGAAAUACAUGGUUCCAUUUGUAAAUGUUGAUCUGAUUUACCAGAUUAUUUCUGAUGAAUCUGUUGUAAAUAAUGGGUGAAAUGUAUAAGAUUCACGAGGUAAUGCUAACAUUUGAAAAUAACAUCCAUUAACAUGAUACUUUAGGUUUUAAUAGUGAAUGAAUUAUAACCUGUAAGUGGGAAAAUCCGUCCGGAAAACUGUUGAAAUUUAACAGGAUCCAAUGUGCCAAAACUUGUGAUCCCAUACUUGUCACAAGAUAACUAUUCCAGUUCAUUCCAUGCAUGAUGUUCAGUUUUGUUGGGCAUAGAUCAUAAUCAGUAAUGUGAAUGGAAUGGAAUAUUUUAUAUAUGAGUGAAUGAUUUUUAAUACUUAUUUAUGCUCUCAAGUUAUAAAGAAAUGUAAUACAUUGGGAUAGCAUUUGAGAGAGUGUUCUCUAACAGUAUUGUCAUUUUUAUGUUUUAUGAGAAUAAAUGAAGAACAAUAAUAAAAGUCAUUGUAAGAUUUGGGAUAUGUUUUAUCAUUGCUACUGUGAAAGAUUUAUGCCUAUUUGCAAUACAUUCACCCACCAGAAUAUGAUUAAUGAACGUAGUUUCACUUAGAAACUACAGUAUUCUAUGUCAUGUUUAUUGUUCCAAAUAUGAAAUACUGUACUGUAUUUACACCUCCAUAACAGUGAUAAAGAAAAGUUUUUAAAUUUAUUUACAUAUAGAAUAUAUUGUAAAUGUUGAAUUUUAAUGAUAUAUUUCAUGUUACACUGCAUUUGUAUUACAUAACUAGGAGUGUCUUAGGUGGCAUAACUAAUGCUGAAAGUGGUAUGGUAAAUUCAGGUUGGUUACAUUCAUGUACAUGAGGUCCCAUACAAGCAAAAUUUCUCCUUGAAAUUGAUAGCUCAAGCAUGAAAAAACAUUGUAACACAUAUGGUACAAGUAUUAGUCAACUAAUAAAAUUUGGGUAAACAAAUUUUAUUUAAUUUAAGUUUCUUGGUAUAACAUCAUAAAUUAUUGCCUAGAGUAGUUCAUAAUUUCAUGUGUUCAUUUGUUAGUGUAGCAUUAGAGAGUAAGACACUUGCAGUAUUAGAUUUUGUGGAAAGAUAGUACAGUGUAAGGAGAUUUAUGACUGCUUCAGUAACAAUCCUGUUGUACUAUAUACACUAGUGAAAUAUAACCUCUUGAUAUGAAAGGUCUUUCAGGGGAAAUUUUACUUUUGUAGUUAAGGAAUCUAGCCUUAACAUUUUGUGCAAAGGUGAAUGUAAUUGAAAUGCGUGUCUGAUGACAAAUAUCUUCUUAACCUGAGUUUAAAGUGCAUACCUGUACCUCUAUUUGAUAUUUCUUUUCUAAUUUUCAGAGUCAUUCCAUUUGACUGCUUGACCAAUAGUGCAUAAUAGUGUGGACACAUAAACAUUGUAUGGUAAUUCUUAAAGGCAAUAAUGCAGAUCAGGAAAAAGA